This 497-nucleotide ribosomal RNA is filed under the name uncultured bacterium. Its description in RNAcentral is "partial 16S ribosomal RNA". It matches the Rfam family "Bacterial small subunit ribosomal RNA", at positions 28 to 507 of the family's 1533-position model. The record is from RNAcentral.
GAUGAACGCUGGCGGCGUGCCUAAUACAUGCAAGUCGAGCGAACGGACGAGAAGCUUGCUUCUCUGGUGUUAGCGGCGGACGGGUGAGUAACACGUGGAUAACCUACCUAUAAGACUGGGAUAACUUCGGGAAACCGUAGCUAAUACCGGAUAAUAUUUUGAACCGCAUGGUUCAAAAGUGAAAGACGGUCUUGCUGUCACUUAUAGAUGGAUCCGCGCUGCAUUAGCUAGUUGGUAAGGUAACGGCUUACCAAGGCAACGAUGCAUAGCCGACCUGAGAGGGUGAUCGGCCACACUGGAACUGAGACACGGUCCAGACUCCUACGGGGGGCAGCAGUAGGGAAUCUUCCGCAAUGGGCGAAAGCCUGACGGAGCAACGCCGCGUGAGUGAUGAAGGUCUUCGGAUCGUAAAACUCUGUUAUUAGGGAAGAACAUAUGUGUAAGUAACUGUGCACAUCUUGACGGUACCUAAUCAGAAAGCCACGGCUAACUACGUG